This 177-nucleotide unclassified non-coding RNA is filed under the name uncultured fungus. Its description in RNAcentral is "sequence contains ITS1". The record is from RNAcentral. Lineage: Eukaryota; Fungi.
UUCAUUCAUUAGGCUUUUGAUCAGACUCAGGGCUGUCCACUGCAUAAACGCGACGCACCCGCCCAAAUGGGCAUUGAGGCGCCGAACCACAUCUUGUGUCCACAGGUUGGUUUGGGGGUCAAAGGGCCCCAGAGGGGCCACUCGGGAAUGAUCCCUCCGCAGGUUCACCUACGGAGA